GGGGGUAUCUUUUGCUGGCUUUUUCUUUUACAGAAGGUCAGCUCCCCUGAAAUGUAUUAGUGGUGUCUGAGCUACUGCUAUAGGUGUGAUAAUUAUCUAUGCCUUUGGUAUACUGCAUGAACAGAUUGGACUGCUUAUAACAAACAAUUGAAUUUGACAAAUCUGACCUCAAAUCAGGUAGGACUACCCGCUGAACUUAA
RNAcentral lists this unclassified non-coding RNA (200 nucleotides) under soil metagenome. Its description in RNAcentral is "partial contains internal transcribed spacer 2 and large subunit ribosomal RNA". The record is from RNAcentral.